RNAcentral lists this ribosomal RNA (162 nucleotides) under Avena agadiriana. Its description in RNAcentral is "5.8S ribosomal RNA". It matches the Rfam family "5.8S ribosomal RNA". From Rfam's summary of the family: 5.8S ribosomal RNA (5.8S rRNA) is a component of the large subunit of the eukaryotic ribosome. It is transcribed by RNA polymerase I as part of the 45S precursor that also contains 18S and 28S rRNA. Lineage: Eukaryota; Viridiplantae; Streptophyta; Magnoliopsida; Poales; Poaceae. The record is from RNAcentral.
ACACGACUCUCGGCAACGGAUAUCUCGGCUCUCGCAUCGAUGAAGAACGUAGCRAAAUGCGAUACCUGGUGUGAAUUGCAGAGUCCCGCGAACCAUCGAGUCUUUGAACGCAAGUUGCGCCCGAGCCAUUCGGCMGAGGGCACGCCUGCCUGGGCGUCACGC